AUGUGGCGGGAAAGUCAACUCUGUUUAUUUUUUACCGUUAAGUUGACCGUUAUGACAGAUGGACCCCACACAUCAGCAUCACCUUCUUCCUCCUCUCUCUCUUUAGCAUUUCCACAAACACCUUACCAGCAGUGGAGCAGCACACCGGCGGUAGUCCGAGAUGCCGAAUCGUCGAUGAAGUCUACCACCACCUUCGCAGUAGAGAUCCAGCAGGAUGACGUGGACGCCGCCGGCAAGCCGGAUGGCGGCGUGCCCCGGCCGUCUCGGGUCCGCCAUCUUGCUCUUCUCACCGCCACCUUCUACGCACUGGUCUUCUACGCGCACAAGGGCGUACCAGGCAGCAUGGUGUCCGCCCUGUUUAAGUCGCCCGUCACCGUUUCAUCCCUUCCCUCGCUGGCCAGCAUCACCAUCGACCAAAACUCCGGACGGGCGGAGCAGCCGGUGAUGCUGAGUGAGGGACGUGCACGGCUCACUCCUCAGGCGACGGUGCUCGAGGCCAAUCGGGGCAUGGCUGUACCGGCGCCGACGCCGGCCGACCAUUGCGAUGGGCGGUACAUCUACAUGUACGACAUGCCGUCGCGCUUCAACGACGACCUCAUCCGAGACUGCGGCAAGGGCAGGAUCUACCCCUGGUUGGACAUGUGCCCGUACAUGGCCAACGACGCAUGGGCCAGCCCUGGCCAACGACAGGGCAUCUUCCCCGGCCGCGACUGGUACUCCACCGACCAGUUCAUGCUCGACCUCAUCUUCCACGCGCGGAUGAAGCGCUACGAGUGCCUGGCCAAGGAUUCUUCCCUCACGGCCGCCGUCUUCGUCCCCUUCUACGUCGGCCUGCAGUCCGAAGAGCUACCACCCGUGUGUUGCUCUACCGCUGGUAAGGUGUUUGUUGAAAUGCCAGAGAGAAAGAGGAGGAAGAAGGUGAGGCUGACGUGUGGGGUCCACCUGUCGUAA
This 951-nucleotide ribosomal RNA is filed under the name Triticum aestivum (bread wheat). RNAcentral describes it as "partial small subunit ribosomal RNA". Lineage: Eukaryota; Viridiplantae; Streptophyta; Magnoliopsida; Poales; Poaceae. The record is from RNAcentral.